AUGCAUCGCUGGCUGAGAACAAUGAUAACAACUUUUGAGAUUGAUCUUAGGCUUCCUCCUCUGUGUCCACGAGCUGCAAGUCAGCCUCUGCCUCUGAAUCGGUGUGCUAACGACGGGGGACAGGAGCCUGAGAGUGUGGCAUGCUGCUGUAAACUGAGAAGGGGAGAAGAGGCCUACUGCCAUGUUACUGACGGUGACGGGCUAGGCUGCUGUCUGCGCUCCCCCUCGCCGACGAGCAUGGACCUGCAAGGUCCCCAGCAGCAUACAUGGCUGGAGAUCCGGAGAGGCAGGGCUCGGCAAGCAGGGGCGGGGCAUAGAGCGCGGAGGCCUUGGCCAGAGCAUCCGCGCCCGUGUCGCCGUAACCAUCGGCCGGAUCCAACGCGCGCGAUUCUGACACCGCCCUGCCUCCUGCGCGUCCUCCUCCUCCUCCCGGCCGUUUAA
RNAcentral lists this ribosomal RNA (441 nucleotides) under Triticum aestivum (bread wheat). RNAcentral's name for it is "partial small subunit ribosomal RNA". The record is from RNAcentral. Lineage: Eukaryota; Viridiplantae; Streptophyta; Magnoliopsida; Poales; Poaceae.